Pongo abelii (Sumatran orangutan) is the source of this 294-nucleotide unclassified non-coding RNA. It matches the Rfam family "Metazoan signal recognition particle RNA". Rfam says of the family: The signal recognition particle (SRP) is a universally conserved ribonucleoprotein. It is involved in the co-translational targeting of proteins to membranes. NCBI's taxonomy places the organism in Eukaryota, Metazoa, Chordata, Mammalia, Primates, Hominidae. The record is from Ensembl.
GCUGGGCACAGUUGCACGCACCUGUAGUCCCAGCUGCUCAGGAGGCUGAAGUAGGAGAAUCGCUCGAUUCCAGGAGUUCUGGGCUAUAAUGUGCUAUGCAGACUGGGUGUCUGCACUAAGUUCAGCAUCAAUAUGGUGACUUCCCAGGAGUGGGGAACCACCAGGUUGCCUAAGGAGGGGUGAACCAGCCCAGUUCAGAAACAGUUAGAACUCCCAUGCUGAUCAGUAGUGAGACUGCAUCAGUGAUCAGCCACUGUAGUCCAGCCUGGGCAUCACAGUGAGACCCCAUCUCUA